UACGGGGGGAGCAAGCGUUGUUCGGAUUUACUGGGCGUAAAGGGCGCGUAGGCGGCGCAACAAGUCACUUGUGAAAUCUCCGGGCUUAACCCGGAGCGGCCAAGUGAUACUGUCGUGCUAGAGUGCGGAAGGGGCUACUGGAAUUCCCGGUGUAGCGGUGAAAUGCGCAGAUAUCGGGAGGAACACCGGUGGCGAAGGCGGUUCUCUGGGCCUUACCUGACGCUGAGGAGCGAAAGCGUGGGGGGCGAACAGG
Molecule: ribosomal RNA, 253 nt
Filed under: uncultured bacterium
Lineage: Bacteria
Description: partial 16S ribosomal RNA
Rfam family: Bacterial small subunit ribosomal RNA
Source: RNAcentral